UUCAUAUCUAUGUGUAAGAUGAAAGGGACCAUGCACUCACUUGAUUAGGUGGUGACUCGGUACUUGAGCAACACUUCGUUAUCUCAAAACAAUUUUUUUCCUUGACCAAAACCUAGUAUUAAUACCACUAGAGUUUAGUUUUAACGUUAAUCGCGACUAAUUAAUAGUCUAGCUAUUAUUACUAUUAUAUAAGCGUUAAAUAACACUCAAUAUAACUCAUAAUAAUAGCCCAAAUAAUUAUUUUAAGGUCGUAAUUGUGUUACUAUAAUUAAAUAAAAGCUAUAUUAAAUAUAGUAUAGGCAUAACUCACUUACAGCGGGUUUUUAUUAAAAACUUGGCUUCCCUGGAGCAGCGUUCCCGAGCCGAAAGAUUUUCUUCUCGGAGCCGUCGAGCGCUCUAGGGCUUUCUUCUCGUGAUAGGGAGGUUCCCUAGACUUGGGAGGGGCUUAGGGAGGUUAGAGAGAGAAAGAAAGGUUUAAAGGUGUGAGGAAAUUAUGAAGACUUCAUCUCUUAUUUAUAGGAAUUGUAUAGUAACGUAGUCUCGAAGCUUCGUCCGUAACUUUUGCAUACGAGCUCCAUUUUUGUCUGUCUUUUUACCAUUGAGUUCCUAUUAAUGAGGUCUUCAACUCUCAUUUAGACCUCGUUGGCUAAUUCUCAUUCUAUCUCGGAUUUACAAAACUGUAUCGAAUUUGCCGCGCUCGAAAAGUAGAGACUAAGCUUCGUCCAUAACUUUCGCAUAAGAGCUCUGUUUUUGUCUGUCUUUUUACCAUUGAGUUCCUAUUAAUGAGGUCUUCAACUCUCAUUUAGACCUCGUUGGCUAAUUCUCAUUCUAUCUCGGAUUUACAAAACUGUAUCGAAUUCGCCGCGCUCGAAAAGUAGGGACUAAGCUUCAUCCAUAACUUUCGCAUACGAGCUCUAUUAUAAAUGUUCUUUAUAUCCACGCGUUGGUAUUUACGAGUACUACAUCUUUCAUUUAGAUCCCGUCGGCUAGUUCUCACUCUAUCUCAGAUUUACAAAACUGUAUCGAAUUCGGAACGCUCGAAUAGUAGGGACUAAGCUUCGUCCAUAUCUUUAGCAUACGAGCUCUGUUUUCGACUGUCUUUUUAUCGUUUAAAUCCUAUUAACGAUAUCUUCAUUUAUCGUUUAGAUUAUUUUAGCUAAAAAUCG
RNAcentral lists this long non-coding RNA (1166 nucleotides) under Lactuca sativa (garden lettuce). RNAcentral's name for it is "long non-coding RNA (LSAT_LNC007454)". Lineage: Eukaryota; Viridiplantae; Streptophyta; Magnoliopsida; Asterales; Asteraceae. The record is from RNAcentral.